UUAGAAUUUGUUUAAUUUCAUUAGACAUUUGUAAACAAACGGUCGGCCAUUUUUUUGUUAAUCACGUGUUACAAAUACAAUUGUAACAAACACACGCCAAUACUUUGUCGUACUUAACCAGGAAAUACUGACUCCGACAGUUCUUAUUUAAAAUAAAUAUACAUGUAAAAAGUAUACUAUUCGGUAAAAAAUGAUAAUUUUGAUUAAACAUUAUUCAUUUUAAACUAUCCCAAGAUGCACUUUUCCAAGAUUUAGCGGAUUCUGAUUGGUCAGUAUUGGCGCACUUUAUGAUUCCGAGCGAAGGUUAAAAUGGACAUGAAGGUGCUGUUGUAAAAUGGAGAAUUGAGAAGCAUUAAUAGCCUCUACAACAAGGAGAUAAUGCAGGAACGAAGAACUCAUGUCAAGCAUUGACAGCAUACAAAGUCAAUGUUUCCGGUGAUUAGUUGCAUCCUCUGUUCGGUGAUUCGGGUGAUUGUUUUGACCAGCUGGACGAUGUGAACCCAAGAUAAAAAGAACAGACAUAAAGUACAGCCCAGUGAAAGGAACAAGUUCAUCGCAAGAAGAAGAAUUUUAAUGCUACCACUGUCCAGAACUACUAAGUCUGCUGUAACCAUGAUGUGAUCAUAUGAGUGCUUCACCGGUCUGGACAAUGCUCGAAAAUCCCCCCAAAAGGCCUAUUUCCAUAAACUACGACUCAGGUUACAUCAACAACAGCCAAGGACACCCCUUAUUGAUUCCAAUGGACACAUCUCUAC
This is a long non-coding RNA of Magallana angulata, 755 nucleotides long. RefSeq lists it as uncharacterized. The record is from RefSeq and is a predicted model, not a curated record. Lineage: Eukaryota; Metazoa; Mollusca; Bivalvia; Ostreida; Ostreidae. The transcript is spliced from 3 exons.